GCAUAACACACCAAUCUCUCCAAAGGCAUCUCCAACAACUGCCUUGCCUUGAACCUACAUACAUGAAUACAGUAAAAUCCUGCACAAUCACCAAAGGAGCGAGUAACUAUGUCAGAAGGUCUGUAGGAGCUUCGUUCUGUAGUAUUACAUCUUCUCUUGGUGGGAAAUACUCGGCAUCUAUAUCUGAAACCUUGGUCGGACAAGGAAGUUGCGAGAAACUCCAUGAAAGAGGUAGACGUUCUGAACGAUUGGGAAGAAGAGAUAGUUUGCAAUGCUUGAUCGAA
Camelina sativa (false flax) is the source of this 284-nucleotide non-coding RNA. The record is from RefSeq and is a predicted model, not a curated record. Lineage: Eukaryota; Viridiplantae; Streptophyta; Magnoliopsida; Brassicales; Brassicaceae.